CUUCAGGAGCCUUUACUGUGGUUGUAGCCUAGUGGUUAGAGCGUUGGACUAGUAACCGGAAGGUUGCAAGAUCAAAUCCUUGAGCUGACAAGGACAGGAAUAGGACUAUCCAGGACACCUACAGCCUCUGGUGUUCACAGAAAGGCCCAAGAAGAUCAUCAAGGACCUCAGCCAUCCGAGCCACGGUCUGUUCACCAUGCUACUAGAAGGUGAAGGCAGUACAACUGCAUCAACGCUGGGACCGAGAGACUGAGAAACAGCUUCUAUCUCCAGUCACCACCUAGCCGGCCUCCACUCAGUACCCUGACCUGAAUCUUAGUCACUGUUACUAGCCGGCUACCACCCGGUACUCUACUCUGCACCUUAGAGACUGUUGCCCUAUGUACAUAGUCAUUGAAUACUGGUCACUUUAAUAAUGUUUACAUUACUGUUUUACCCACUUCAUAUGUAUAUACUGUAUUCUAGUUCAUCCUAUAUAACUACUGCUGUCCACUUCAUAUGUAUAUACUGUAUUCUAGUUCAUCCUAUAUAACUACUGCUGUCCACUUCAUAUGUAUAUACUGUAUUCUAGUUCAUCCUAUAUAACUACUACUGUCCACUUCAUAUGUAUAUACUGUAUUCUAGUCAAGGAUCAUCCUAUAUAACUACUGCUGUCUACUUCAUAUGUAUAUACUGUAUUCUAGUUCAUCCUAUAUAACUACUGCUGUCCACUUCAUAUGUAUAUACUGUAUUCUAGUUCAUUCUAUAUAACUACUGCUGUCCACUUCAUAUGUAUAUACUGUAUUCUAGUCAAGGAUCAUCCUAUACAACUACUGCUGUCCACUUCAUAUGUAUCUACUGUAUUGUAGUCAAGGAUCAUCCUAUAUAACUACUGCUGUCUACACCUUUUCUAUUCAUAUAAUGUCGAAAAUGUCUAUACACACCAUUAUAUACAUAGAAAUGUACAUUCCAGACUCUGACAUUGCUCGUUCUGAUGUUUCUUAAUUUCUUUAUUUAGAUUUAGGGUAUUUAUGUAUGUUUGUUUUGUAUUAGCACUGUUGGUGCUAGAAACAUCAGCAUUUCACUGCACCUGCAGAAACAUGUCUACACGACC
Molecule: long non-coding RNA, 1093 nt
Organism: Oncorhynchus tshawytscha (Chinook salmon)
Lineage: Eukaryota; Metazoa; Chordata; Actinopteri; Salmoniformes; Salmonidae
Source: Ensembl